AGAGUUUGAUCCUGGCUCAGAAUCAACGCUGGCGGCGUGCCUAACACAUGCAAGUCGAACGCGAAAGUGGGGGCAACUCCAUGAGUAGAGUGGCAGACGGGUGAGUAACACGUGGGUAACCUACCCUGAAGUGAGGAAUAACCCGCCGAAAGGUGGGCUAAUACCGCAUAACAUCCUUGAGACACAGGUCUUGGGGAUCAAAGCCCGAAAGGGCGCUCCGGGAGGGACCCGCGCCUGAUUAGCUAGUUGGUAGGGUAACGGCCUACCAAGGCUCCGAUCAGUAGCCGGCCUGAGAGGGUGAACGGCCACACUGGAACUGAGACACGGUCCAGACUCCUACGGGAGGCAGCAGUGGGGAAUUUUGCGCAAUGGGCGAAAGCCUGACGCAGCAACGCCGCGUGGGUGACGAAGUCCCUUGGGACGUAAAACCCUGUCGGAUGGGACGAAAAAUCCCGCAAGGGAAAUUGACUGUACCAUUAGAGGAAGCCCCGGCUAACUCCGUGCCAGCAGCCGCGGUAAUACGGGGGGGGCAAGCGUUGUUCGGAAUUACUGGGCGUAAAGGGCGUGUA
Molecule: ribosomal RNA, 569 nt
Filed under: uncultured bacterium
Lineage: Bacteria
Description: bacterial SSU rRNA
Rfam family: Bacterial small subunit ribosomal RNA
Source: RNAcentral